GACGAACGCUGGCGGCGUGCUUAACACAUGCAAGUCGAACGGAAAGGCCCUGCUUUUGUGGGGUGCUCGAGUGGCGAACGGGUGAGUAACACGUGAGUAACCUGCCCUUGACUUUGGGAUAACUUCAGGAAACUGGGGCUAAUACCGGAUAGGAGCUCCUGCUGCAUGGUGGGGGUUGGAAAGUUUCGGCGGUUGGGGAUGGACUCCCGGCUUAUCAGCUUGUUGGUGGGGUAGUGGCUUACCAAGGCUUUGACGGGUAGCCGGCAUGAGGGGGUGACCGGCCACAUUGGGACUGAUAUACGGCCCAGACUCCUACGGGAGGCAGCAGUGGGGAAUAUUGCACAAUGGGCGGAAGCCUGAUGCAGCAACGCCGCGUGCGGGAUGACGGCCUUCGGGUUGUAAACCGCUUUCGCCUGUGACGAAGCGUGAGUGACGGUAAUGGGUAAAGAAGCACCGGCUAACUACGUG
RNAcentral lists this ribosomal RNA (468 nucleotides) under uncultured bacterium. RNAcentral's name for it is "partial 16S ribosomal RNA". It matches the Rfam family "Bacterial small subunit ribosomal RNA", at positions 28 to 507 of the family's 1533-position model. The record is from RNAcentral.